RNAcentral lists this ribosomal RNA (253 nucleotides) under uncultured bacterium. RNAcentral's name for it is "partial 16S ribosomal RNA". It matches the Rfam family "Bacterial small subunit ribosomal RNA", at positions 524 to 776 of the family's 1533-position model. The record is from RNAcentral.
UACAGAGGGUGCAAGCGUUAAUCGGAAUUACUGGGCGUAAAGCGUGCGCAGGCGGUUAUGCAAGACAGAGGUGAAAUCCCCGGGCUCAACCUGGGAACUGCCUUUGUGACUGCAUAGCUAGAGUACGGCAGAGGGGGAUGGAAUUCCGCGUGUAGCAGUGAAAUGCGUAGAUAUGCGGAGGAACACCGAUGGCGAAGGCAAUCCCCUGGGCCUGUACUGACGCUCAUGCACGAAAGCGUGGGGAGCAAACAGG